CUCCCAUAAGGAUGCCCAAGUCCCUGCACUCAUAAGUGCCUCCCAUCUCCCUGAGGGCUCUGCUUUCGGGGGUGUCACCUUUCAGAGGAAGCCACUCGAUACAGGGGAGAGCUUUUACUUUCCUUAGCAUGUGAGGAGUGGGAGCAGAUAUUCUCUGACCCCCUGCACACCCCCACGUGCACAGGCCUGGCUGCUGCCUGGUGAAGCGGGGACCCCAGCGCUCCACCCCCUUCCUACCCUCAGGCCCUGCUUCUCUCACCUCGUGGGGAAGCCCAAGCCUCGUGGCCCAACUGGGGCUCAGUUAA
RNAcentral lists this long non-coding RNA (305 nucleotides) under Homo sapiens (human). Its description in RNAcentral is "HSALNT0255732". The record is from RNAcentral. Lineage: Eukaryota; Metazoa; Chordata; Mammalia; Primates; Hominidae.